RNAcentral lists this transfer RNA (85 nucleotides) under Sphingomonas colocasiae. Its description in RNAcentral is "tRNA-Leu". It matches the Rfam family "tRNA". From Rfam's summary of the family: Transfer RNA (tRNA) molecules are approximately 80 nucleotides in length. The record is from RNAcentral. Lineage: Bacteria; Pseudomonadati; Pseudomonadota; Alphaproteobacteria; Sphingomonadales; Sphingomonadaceae.
GCCCCCUUGGCGAAAUUGGUAGACGCACGGCACUUAAAAUGCCGAGCCUUCGGGCGUCCCGGUUCGAGUCCGGGAGGGGGCACCA